AGGGCAUACGGUGGAUGCCUAGGCGCCAAGAGCCGAAGAAGGACGCGGUAAGCUGCGAAAAGCCACGGGGAACUGCAAGCAAGUAUUGAUCCGUGGAUAUCCGAAUGGGGAAACCCGGCCAUCGUCAUGGAUGGUCACCCGCAAGGGAGGGAACCUGGGGAACUGAAACAUCUAAGUACCCGGAGGAAGAGAAAUCAAACGAGAUGCCCACAGUAGCGGCGAGCGAAGAGGGCAGAGCCCAAACCGAGAAGCUCCGGCUUUUCGGGGUUGAGGACCGGCAGAAUCGAAGUCAGGCCUAGUUGAAUUACCUGGAAAGGUAAGCGAGAGAGGGUAAAAGCCCCGUAGACGAAAGGCAGAGCAGAGAGGCCGAGAUCCAGAGUACCACGAAGCACGAGGAAUUUUGUGGGAAGCAGGGGGGACCACCCUCCAAGGCUAAAAACUACUUGGCGACCGAUAGCGCAUAGUACCGUGAGGGAAAGGUGAAAAGAACCCCGGGAGGGGAGUGAAAUAGUACCUGAAACCGUAUGUCUACAAGCAGUCGAAGCGAAAGCGACGGCGUGCCUAUUGAAGAAUGAACCAACGAGUUAUCUGCACUAGCGAGGUUAAGUGGAAGACACGGAGCCGCAGCGAAAGCGAGUCUUAAGAGGGCGCUAGUUAGUGUAGGUAGACCCGAAACCGCAGUGAUCUACCCAUGUCCAGGUUGAAGCGCAGGUAAAAUUGCGUGGAGGACCGAACCGGUGAGCGUUGAAAAGCUUUCGGAUGAGAUGUGGGUAGGGGUGAAAUUCCAAUCGAACGCGGAGAUAGCUGGUUCUCCCCGAAAUAGCUUUAGGGCUAGCCUGAGGUAGUAAGUAUAGGCGGUAGAGCACUGAUCGGGCUAGGGGCCGUAAAGGUUACCGAACCCUGUCAAACUCCGAAUGGAUAUACUGUAGAGCCUUGGAGUCAGACUACGAGUGAUAAGAUCCGUGGUCAAAAGGGAAACAGCCCAGACCACCAGCUAAGGUCCCCAAUGUCGUACUAAGUGGAAAAGGAUGUGGGGUUUCAUAAACAACCAGGAUGUUGGCUCAGAAGCAGCCACCAUUUAAAGAGUGCGUAAUAGCUCACUGGUCGAGAGACCCUGCGCCGAAGAUUCCCGGGGCUAAAGUACGAAACCGAAGCUGUGGCUGUAUACGUAAAGUAUACGGGGUAGGGGAGCGUUCCCAUAGGGUAGAAGUCGAACUGGAAGGUUCGGUGGACUUGUGGGAAGUGAGAAUGUUGGUAUGAGUAGCGAAAAGAAAGGUGAGAAUCCUUUCCACCGAAAGCAUAAGGAUUCCUGAGCAACGAUCGUCGUCUCAGGGUAAGUCGGGACCUAAUCCGAGGCAGAGAGCGUAGGAGAUGGACAACUGGUUGAUAUUCCAGUACCGGUAGUAAUUGUUUGAGCAAUGGAGUGACACAGAAGGGCAGGCAAGCAUGCGAAUGGAAGAGCAUGUGUAAGCGUGUAGGGUGGUGCAUAGGCAAAUCCGUGCACUGAAAGCCUGAGGCGUGAUGCGGAGUGAGCAGAGAUGCGAGCGAAGUUGUUGACCCCACACUGUCGAGAAAAGCUUCUAGUGAGAGAGCUACCGCCCGUACCGUAAACCGACACAGGUAUGCGGGGAGAGAAUCCUAAGGUGCGCGGGAGAACCCUCGUUAAGGAACUCGGCAAAAUGUACCCGUAACUUCGGGAUAAGGGUAGCCACUGUUGUGAAGUCCCAUGCGGAUGGAGCAUAGAGUGGUCGCAGAGAAGAGGCCCAAGCGACUGUUUACCAUAAACACAGGUGCCUGCUAAAGCGAAAGCUGACGUAUAGGUGCUGACACCUGCCCAGUGCCGGAAGGUUAAGGAAGGAUGUUCGGAUUAGUCCAAAGCAUUCGACUGAAGCCCCGGUGAACGGCGGCCGUAACUAUAACGGUCCUAAGGUAGCGAAAUUCCUUGUCGGGUAAGUUCCGACCCGCACGAAAGGUGUAACGAUUUGGGCACUGUCUCAACGAGGGACCCGGUGAAAUUGAAAUACCUGUGAAGAUGCAGGUUACCCGCGACUGGACAGAAAGACCCCAUGGAGCUUUACUGUAACCUGACAUUGGGUUUUGAUACAUUACGUACAGGAUAGGUGGGAGGCAUGGAAAGCUGGACGCUAGUCUGGCUGGAGCCGCCGUUGGGAUACCACCCUUGAUGUAUUGAAAUUCUAACCGCGAGAGUAACGAAAUCCGGGACAGUGUCAGGCGGGCAGUUUGACUGGGGCGGUCGCCUCCGAAAGAGUAAC
RNAcentral lists this ribosomal RNA (2273 nucleotides) under human gut metagenome. RNAcentral describes it as "bacterial LSU rRNA". It matches the Rfam family "Bacterial large subunit ribosomal RNA", at positions 14 to 2301 of the family's 2925-position model. The record is from RNAcentral.